ACAAUACUCGCCGGAAGCGGAAGCCGCGCUGAGAAGCUCGUGUCAGUGGAAACCCGGGUGUCGGCUCGCUGCCGCGGGAAGGCCUAGCGGUGCUUGCGGGAGGAGAAGGAGGGGGGCCAGAGGCCAGUCCAGAGAGAAGGUGGCGAGCUGAGGCGGCCAGUUACGUGGCGGACCUGCGGGUCUCAGCUGGCACGUCACUUCCGACUGGUUGAGUUUUAGCCUUUUAACAUUCCAGGAUUAGGUGACCAUUCUGAGGAGGAAGUGUGUUUCAAAGGUCUGUUAAGAAUGUUUUUUUGCUUGGAGACUGAUUAUUAACAAGAUUUUAUGCUGAAUAUGGAAGGAAAGGUGAGAGAAUGUUUAGAUAAAAAUAUAAAAUUAUGUAGGUAAUGUACUAUGAUAUAGAACAGGGGUUGGCAAACCUUUCCUGUAAAGAACCAGUUUGCAAGCACAUCCUGUGUGGGCCUGAGAGACACUGGGGUGACCACUCAUGUCCUUCCAACCCUGCUGUCCCUGAUUUGCCUUCUUCUAACUGACUUCCUGGUGACGCCUGCUCUCCAAGGUUGUUGCAGGUGACAUGGCAGGAAUGGAGGGUAGCGAGGUCUCUGCAUUGCAUAUGCUCAUACGUAGGCUGCAUAGUCACUGAACAAGGUAAUUAUCACUCUGGGUUCCAUGUUGGACAAGAUGAUCUGCAGGCUGAGCUGUGUUAUCCAAGCAGGGUCCUAGAUACAAGAAUCACGGCUGUCAUUUGGGAAGGUCUGUCUCAACUUUGUGGAACCUGAGAGGUUGUCCUCCCUGAAUAUUUCCCCCUUCCCUUGUCAGACCUUCUGAAUCUCUAGGAAGGCACCAUCGCUAAACUGAACCAUUUUUUUGCUUUCCUGUGUCAUGUUCCCAGGUAAAUCCUGGUCUCCCACUAUCUCUGCCAGUUUGCCUCCGACGAGAUCCUGCAAAGUCACUUCUUGUGAUUCCACUCGGUUGGUUUUUUUCCUUUCAUCCAGGUUAUUUCUUAGUGAUUUUCUCUUGUAUUCGUGAGUCAGUUACAUUAGGAAGUCAGUAUUCUCUAACUUAACCUUUCCACUAAUUUUUGGACCAAAUGGGCAAAGGUUCUCUUUCCAAGUCUCAGCCCCUUCCCACACAGGGACAAGACAGUAGUAGGGUUCCUGGAGAGUCAGCGAUUGGCACAGACCCUCAUCAGCAUGAGACAGGUAGGUCACAAAGGUGUGUACCUGCAUCUUCUUUCUGUCCCUAGCAUGUGGUGCAACACCUGGCCCACAGUAGGCACUCAAUUAGCUUCUGUGUGGAGGCUGUUUCCCCAAAACUCAUUAUAAUAGUUGCAUUUACCAGGUUAUUCACCCAACUCUGAAUUCCUUCAUGUUUCUCUCACUGAGCCUAGCAGAGAGCCUGACAUCUACUACUGCCUAAUAUGUGUCUGCCAAAUGGAAGUGGGACUUUGGCAAUUCAAAAUUUUUUUCAACUGACUGAUAUAUGCACAAUGUUUGAAAAAUUUACAUAACAUGAAAGUAUAGAGUGAAAAGUAAAUUUCAUCCUCCAUCCCAUCCAUAAUUCUUCCAAACUCUCUCCCUGGACAUAACAGCUGUUAACCAGUUUCAACAGUAUUAUAGGAAGAGAUUUCCAUUUUAGCAGGUGGUACUUUUUAAGAUUUUAUUUUUUCUAUUUGAGAGAGAGAGAGAGAGCAGGGGCAGGGGAGAGGGAGAAGCAGGCUCAUG
Molecule: non-coding RNA, 1724 nt
Organism: Callorhinus ursinus (northern fur seal)
Lineage: Eukaryota; Metazoa; Chordata; Mammalia; Carnivora; Otariidae
Source: RefSeq, a predicted model, not a curated record